CAGGGUGUAGCUCAGCUUGGUAGAGCGUGUGGUUUGGGUCCACAAGGUCGCAGGUUCGAAUCCUGUCACCCUGA
Molecule: transfer RNA, 74 nt
Filed under: Tepidisphaera sp.
Lineage: Bacteria; Pseudomonadati; Planctomycetota; Phycisphaerae; Tepidisphaerales; Tepidisphaeraceae
Also listed under: 6 other names
Description: tRNA-Pro
Rfam family: tRNA
About the family: Transfer RNA (tRNA) molecules are approximately 80 nucleotides in length. Their secondary structure includes four short double-helical elements and three loops (D, anti-codon, and T loops).
Source: RNAcentral